Molecule: ribosomal RNA, 488 nt
Filed under: uncultured bacterium
Lineage: Bacteria
Description: bacterial SSU rRNA
Rfam family: Bacterial small subunit ribosomal RNA
Source: RNAcentral
AUUGAACGCUGGCGGCGUGCCUAACACAUGCAAGUCGAGCGGUAACAGGUGUAGCAAUACAUGCUGACGAGCGGCGAACGGGUGAGUAAUGCUUUGGAAUCUUCCCAGUAGUGGGGAAUAACCAGUCGAAAGAUUGGCUAAUACCGCAUACGUCUGUAAAGGGAAAGCGGGGGCUCGUAAGACCUCGCGCUAUUGGAUGAGCCAAAGUCGGAUUAGCCAGUUGGGGGGUAAUGGCCUACCAAGGCGACAAUCCGUAGCUGGUCUGAGAGGACGACCAGCCACACCGGAACUGAGACACGGUCCGGACUCCUACGGGAGGCAGCAGUGGGGAAUAUUGGACAAUGGGGGAAACCCUGAUCCAGCGACGCCGCGUGUGUGAAGAAGGCCUGCGGGCUGUAAAGCACUUUUAGUGGGGACAAAAGCUACGGAUUAAUACUCUGUGGUCUUGAUUAAACCCAAAGAAAAGACACCGGCUAACUCUGUGCCAG